CCUACGGGAGGCAGCAGUGGGGAAUAUUGCACAAUGGGCGAAAGCCUGAUGCAGCGACGCCGCGUGAGGGAUGACGGCCUUCGGGUUGUAAACCUCUUUCAGUAGGGAAGAAGCGAAAGUGACGGUACCUGCAGAAGAAGCGCCGGCUAACUACGUGCCAGCAGCCGCGGUAAUACGUAGGGCGCAAGCGUUAUCCGGAAUUAUUGGGCGUAAAGAGCUCGUAGGCGGUUUGUCGCGUCUGCUGUGAAAGAACGGGGCUCAACUCCGGUUCUGCAGUGGGUACGGGCAGACUAGAGUGAUGUAGGGGAGACUGGAAUUCCUGGUGUAGCGGUGAAAUGCGCAGAUAUCAGGAGGAACACCGAUGGCGAAGGCAGGUCUCUGGGCAUUAACUGACGCUGAGGAGCGAAAGCAUGGGGAGCGAACAGGAUUAGAUACCCUGGUAGUCCAUGCCGUAAACGUUGGGCACUAGGUGUGGGGGACAUUCCACGUUUUCCGCGCCGUAGCUAACGCAUUAAGUGCCCCGCCUGGGGAGUACGGCCGCAAGGCUAAAACUCAAAGGAAUUGACGGGGGCCCGCACAAGCGGCGGAGCAUGCGGAUUAAUACGAUGCAACGCGAAGAACCUUACCAAGGCUUGACAUGGACCGGACCGCCGCAGAAAUGUGGUUUCCCUUUGGGGCCGGUUCACAGGUGGUGCAUGGUUGUCGUCAGCUCGUGUCGUGAGAUGUUGGGUUAAGUCCCGCAACGAGCGCAACCCUCGUUCUAUGUUGCCAGCACGUGAUGGUGGGGACUCAUAGGAGACUGCCGGGGUCAACUCGGAGGAAGGUGGGGACGACGUCAAAUCAUCAUGCUCCUUAUGUCUUGGGCUUCACGCAUGCUACAAUGGCCGGUACAAAGGGUUGCGAUACCGUGAGGUGAGCUAAUCCAAAAGCCGGUCUCAGUUCGGAUUGGGGUCUGCAACUCGACCCCAUGAGUCGAGUCGCUAGUAAUCGCAGAUCAGCAUGCCGCGUGAUACGUUUCCGGG
RNAcentral lists this ribosomal RNA (1022 nucleotides) under uncultured bacterium. Its description in RNAcentral is "bacterial SSU rRNA". It matches the Rfam family "Bacterial small subunit ribosomal RNA", at positions 338 to 1378 of the family's 1533-position model. The record is from RNAcentral.